RNAcentral lists this ribosomal RNA (348 nucleotides) under Triticum aestivum (bread wheat). RNAcentral's name for it is "partial small subunit ribosomal RNA". The record is from RNAcentral. Lineage: Eukaryota; Viridiplantae; Streptophyta; Magnoliopsida; Poales; Poaceae.
AUGGAGGCUCAGGCUCCCCCUGAAGCCGCAGGAUCUCCUCUAGACCUAUCUCUCACUAUGGCCCCCGGGGCUCCUUGGUCUGUUCUUCCUUCUGGUCGCGGUGGUCGCCAUCGCAGCGGCACGGGAUCAAGGCUCUACUCUUGCCUCUUCUGUGAGAGGAAGUUCCUCAAGUCGCAUGCGCUAGGGGGCCACCAGAACGCGCACAGGAUGGAGAGGGUCGUCGGCAGCUGGAAGGCCCACCUCUACCUCCCUGACCAUCAUCAUGCCGCGGCAGCAGCCACCGGUAUAGCGCGUCUUGACACCGACGAUGACAAGCACCAGAAGCUUGAUCUUAAUCUCAAGCUUUAA